RNAcentral lists this small nuclear RNA (107 nucleotides) under Salvator merianae (Argentine black and white tegu). The record is from RNAcentral. Lineage: Eukaryota; Metazoa; Chordata; Lepidosauria; Squamata; Teiidae.
GUGCUCGCUUUGGCNGCACAUAUACUAAAAUUGGAAUGAUACAGAGAAGCUUAGCACGGCCCCUGCACAAGGAUGACACUCAAAUUCGUGAAAUGUUCCAUAUUUUU